AGAGCAUGACCAUAUCCCAAAAUAUAUCCCAGAUGGAUUAAAAUAUUUUAAAGUGAUAUCAUUAAAAAGUACAUUAAUAAAAGAUACUGGAUGUAAAGAUGUAUAAAAUAAUGUGUAAAAGAUGUAUGAAAGGAACCAAAAAGGGGCUAUCACAUAUGAUCACAUAAAUAAUUUAAAUCUUAGACGUAGAAAGUCAAAAGAAGAUGAAGAACAAACUGAAAACAAGUAUACAGCCAGUACGAUAAAGAGCUGACUAUUAUACAUACAUUUGAAUUUUAUGAAAUAUCUUUCCAUUGCUGCCCAGGGACGAAGGCAUCAUGGAGAGGUAAUAGAGGAAAGAAGUUAUAAAUCAUAUGGCUUUGUAUCGAAGAUUAGGUAUUUUUUUCCUUACUAGUCUGUCACAUAUAUAGUUAUACACAUAAAAAUAUUCCCUCCUUUCAUCAUUUUUCGCUGGUGCUUCACAUAAGUGAGUGGUGGUAGUGAUCUUACUAAUUACUGGAGUUUUCGUUACAGGAUAGUGCUAGAGGAAUAUGACUGAAUUGGAGGAGAGCUGAUCAUCCAGAAGUGGUUGUGGUGUUUGAUGACACUGUGGAUCUCCGCCUUUGAGGAGAUGGUCUGUGCCUUUUCAUUUAUGUGAGGGAAGUUGCAUCAUGGUUGGGAAACAUACUGCUGUUGUUAUUUGGAAGUCAAAGUGUCGAAGCUAGUGACUCUCUUGAUGUAGGGUAGCCACACACGUAGGUUUUGAUUCUUAAUGCAAUUGGCUCACCACACACCCACUCACACUCCCUUGGAGCACGUUUUCCUGAAGAGACCAAAGACGAGACGGGAAAGAGAAAAAACUACAUUUAUCAGCUACGAUUAUAUUUAUGAUCUGGGUUUAAGCCAACUGGGCAUCACUAUAGUGGCAGGCAUGAGUGAAGUGUUGGGAUAUUCUGGAAAUAAUGGUGAUAAAAGGAUUUGGUUCCUCUUGGGUUCAAAUUGUGGCAAUGGUUUCCUUAUUUUGCUGCUUUCUAAUUUUAAGUCAAGGUAAUGGCAGUGAAAUUUAUCUAGAAAAUGCUCCUUUAUCUAGAAAAUGUUACCAUGUGAUCCUGAGAAUUAUCAAAAAGUCAUUCUCGGAGUUCCCAUCGUGGCACAGUGGUUAACGAAUCCGACUAGGAACCAAGAGAUUGUGGGUUCGAUCCCUGCCCUUGCUCAGUGGGUUAAUGAUCCAGCGUUGCCGUGAGCUGUGGUGUAGGUCGCAGAUGCGGCUCGGAUCCCGCGUUGCUGUGGCUCUGGUGUAGACUGGUGGCUACAGCUCCGAUUUGACCCCUAGCCUGGGAACUUCCAUAUGCCGUGGGAGCGGCCCAAGAAAUGGCAAAAAACAAACAAACAAACAAAAAAGUCAUUCUCUAUACUUUUACUUCAGUUCUAGAGUGGAUUCUCUUGUUUCUAAAAAUGCUGAUUAAUAUAGGUAUUCUUGCCAUGUUUGUUGAAUAGAUUUUGUGUGUGUGCAUGUGUGUGUUUUUAGGGCUGCACCACAGCAUAUGGGGGUUCCCAGGCUAGGGAAUUGGAGCUGUGGCUCCCGGCGUACACCACAGCCAUAGCAACAUGGGAUCGAAGCCACAUCUGUGACCUACACCACAGCUCAUGGCAAUGCAGGAUCCUUAACCCACUGAUCGAGGCCAGGGAUUGAACCUGCAUCCUCAUGGAUGCUAAUUAGAUUCAUUUCUGGUGAGCCAUGAUGGGAACUGUAAAUGUUAGAAAAUGUUAAGUUAUAUGGAAGAAAUUUAAAAAGUAAGGCAGAGAAAGGUAAAUAUAGAGGAGGAAAAGUAUGGAGAGCAGAUUAUAAUCUUAAGUUAGAUCAUGAGAGCAACAUUCAUUGCAAAGGAGGGAUUGGGCAAACACAUGAAAGAAAUGGAUUAAAUGAUUCCAAGCAAAGGAAAGAGCAAGUGCCAAGAUCCAAAGGUGGGCAUGUGCCUAGUGUCUCGGAGAAAUUGCAAAGAGGCCAAUGUAAAAUGAGCAAGGCCGUGAGAUCAGAGGUAACAGUGCAGCACUGGAAGAAUUUUGGCUAUUUCUCUGGUGAAAUCUGAAGUCUCUGGAGACUUUUAAGAAGUGUCAUCCUACUUACCAUCUUACAUUUUAAAAGAAAUCCUCUGGUUGCUUUGUUGAGAAUAGACUGCAGCCGGAAAAAGACGGCAGUAGGAGAUCAGUGGUGAGCUGUUGUAAUAUCCACGUGAGAUGACGGGGGCCUGCAUCAAGGUGGAUCUAUGAAGGUGUGGGAGGUGGUGAAUCUGGAUGCAUUCUGAAGUUAGAGCUAAUAGCAUCUUCAGAGAGAUCAGCUAUAAGCUGUGAGUGAACGGGAGGACACAGGAAUGACUGAGCUCUUCAGGCCUGAGGAACUGUAAGUGCAGAUUACCCUCAGUUGAUACAGGUGGAGUGUUGUGUCCAAUGGCUCUGUCAGGGAGGCAGUCAUUGGAAUAAGGUGGCAUUUCAAGUCUCAAGUCUGGAUGCGCUCACUCAAGGAGGCAGUAAAAAUAGAGAGGGUAUCCAAGACCUAAGCCCCGAGAGACUCAGGCGUUCACAAUGGGAGAAAAGCUAACCUAGGAAACAGAAGAAGCAACGGGCAAGGUAGGCAGACUGGAAGCCUCAUGAAGAAGGUGUACUUAGGAAGAGGGAAUGAGCAUCUGAGCUGAGCACUACUGAAGACAUGAAACUUGAGAUUUAGCUGUUGUAUUUAAUAACUGGGAAGUCACUGGCAACCUUGAAAGUAGCAGUCACAGGAGAGUGGUGAGUGGAGUGGGUUUAAGAGGAAAUAGUUGGUGAAGAACUGGAGAUAAUGAAUAGAGACAAAUUCUCAAGGAUUUUUGAUACAAAAAAGGAAAAGGGAAAUUGGGCAGUAACCCACAGGCAAAGGAGAUCAGUCAGAAAAAGACCAGUGAUCACGCUUGAAACUAGAUCAUGGAAUAAGUCUUUUGUGCUUAGAGAUUUAACAGGGCUUGCUACAGAGUAGUUAUACAAGGCGUUGAGUAAAGCUGGGGUGGGGACAGGUAAGAUGAUCUGGAGAUGCUAAAUGGCUGUGUGAGACCCCAGCAGACAUGGCCAACUUAGUACUUCGAUAGGCAGAGACUUCAGGGACCACCUUGGAACUGGAUUAAUACAAAAUGCUAAUAAAACAAUUAUUUGACAAAUGUAAAACUCUUUAAAAUAAUCAAAGAAAAAUUUGGUGGUGGCAUGUUAUAUAUUUGAACUCAGAUUUAACUGAGUGUCAUCCUAAAAGCUGGCGUGCUAUCCAAAAAUGGGGAGCUCAGAAAUUUGUCAAGUAUAUUUAUAUUUUUAAUCUGGCUGAGAUUAGAGAGAAAUUUUUCAUGUGGAUGUUUUCAUAAAACAUAGAAUAAAUGAUGUACUUGAUAAUAUUUUUACAACAAUUGGAGAUAGUUUAUAUAUGAGGUCAAGCAUAGCAUGUUCCAAUUUUGCAGUUUUAUGGAUAUCUGGUUUAAUGCACAAAUCACGCUUGGAGACUUCAGAGGAGUAUACAUAGCUGCUACAGUGAUCAGAUAUGUGGGUCAGACACUUACCAGAAGCAGAAUGAGAUCAUUUGAGAUGAAAGUUGCUGGUGAGAAGCUAGAGCACGGAAACUAGAGGUCUGUAUUGGUUGUUUGAUGGCAGAGAUGAUAAUUUGAUGUGGAAAUUUCAGACCUGUUUUCUUAUUUUUAUAGAGAGCUAUCUCAUCUCUUCAUGAAGGUGAACCAGAGGAAUGCCUGCAAACUCAUAGUGGUUUUCCCAGUAGUAAGGUUGGGGCCUAAUAAAUGAUUAAAAAGGAGCAUGGGUUUUUUUUCUUUUUUUCUUUUUAGGGCCACAUGUGUGGCAUAUGGAAGUUCUCAGGCUAGGGGGUCGGAUUGGAGCUGCAGCCGUUGGCCUAUGCUACAGCCACAGCAAUGUGGGAUCCACUGUGUCUGUGACCUACAGCACAGCUCUUGGCAAUGCUGGAUCCUUAACCCACUGAGUGAGGCCAGGGAUUGAACCCACAUCCUCAUGGAUACUAGUCAGGCUCGCUACCGCUGAACCACAAGGGAAACUUCUAAGAGGUCCAAUUUUACAUCUAAAUAAUCUCAAAUGCCUACAUCUACCAUAGCAGAAACUUAAUAUAACUUUCGUAACAUUGAUUUCUAGCUACAACUAUAUGCUAGUUAGUAGAAUUUCAAAGGAGUCCCCCAAAUAAAUUAGUGUGUUAACAUUUGAAAAAUAGACAUUGUUCUAUGUAGUUGCCUUAGUGAAUCUGCUAAAAACCAUCAUCACUACCAACAUAUUUAUGGCAUAAUUUGUGACUAGAUGGUUUUCCAGGCCAGAAUUAAUAUUAAUGUAUCUAGCAUUAGUUGGCUACUUACUAUGUACCGUGCAUAAUGUGAAAAAUUUUAUUGAGACUUAUGUAAUUAGAUUUUUAUUACAACUAGAAAUUUUUAUUUUUGCAUUUUACUGAUGAGGUUAAUAAUAACCUCCCUGAUAUCUCAGAAAUAGCAACUAAAGCCCACAUACUCUGACUCUGGACUCUAUCUGCUUCACCUACUCCUUCGAUGGUGCUGGAAACAUGAAAUUUCAGAGACUAGUGGUACUUUGAUCUUCCUAUUUGCUACGGUUGAAAAACUGGCCUAAAUAGAUUAGGUACUGAUUNGUGUGUGUGUGUGUGUGUGUGUGUGUGUGUGUGAGUGUUUAGGGCGGGAGUGUUGAGUGUUUUGGUGGAUGUUGGAAAGAGGAAGAAGAAGCAGGGAGUGUAAUUCAUCCCACCCUUACUCCCUUUUAAAAAUAGGAAUUAGCCAUAAAAAAAAAUCUUAAAAUACAUGAAUACCUAUUAAAUUGAGGGUUCCUAAGACUGGAAAUUUGUUUUGGCUUAACUGUACUGCCAAUUGGUCAUGAAGGAAAUUAUUUAUAUUACAAGACAGGGAAGCAACGAGUUUGAUAAUUAUGUGAGUGGAUCCUGCAGUCAGAUUUCCUAGGGUCAAAUCCUUGUUCUUGCCAUUUCUUUGUCCCAGUAAACCUUAUUUUCCUCAUUUCUUCCUAAAUCAAAGGAUCAUGAGGAUUAAAUGAAAUAGUCCGUAUGAGGCAUUUAUCAUAGCAUCAGUCACUUUUAGCUUUUAUCGUGAUGAAGCAUUUCGAUUUAAUAUUAUAAAGUCAUUUCUGAUGACUUUAAAACCAGCAUUUGUCAGGAAGGAUGCUUGUGGAGCCUCUUUUACUGGGUUUAUUUAAAAGUAAAAUGUACUCCAUAGUCUCCAAUGACUGAUGUGUGUUUUUUCCUGUAUCUGAGUGUACAGAUCAGAUGAGCUUUGAAGGUCCUCUUCAACCUUGUGAGCGUGUUUUUUUUUUUGUUUUGUUUUGUUUUUCCAUGUUACCCCUUUUCUCCAUGUUUGCUAGUUUUUCUUCAAAAUAAGAUUGUGUAAUCCAUUCCAUUUUUAAUAACUAAAAAAGAAUAUUUGUUAACUCAUGCUUUCACAGACUUCUGAUGGAUCAGUUUUAGUUUUGGCUACAAACAAACACACCAAAAUAGUUAAAUAAACAAAAGACACAUAUUCUAUUUUUAAGCAAAAUAAUGUAUUAAAAUAAUUUUGAAUAAAUUUAAGUAUUUAAAAAAUGAAGUAAUAGUAAGACAGUUGCAUAAAAAGCCUAGGUUAACAAAAGGACAGGUCAUUUAAUUAUUCUCCCCUAUCUUCCUUCAUUUGCCAACUCGUGUAUUCAUUUGCUCCUGGACACCAUGACGACAAAUUUACCAAGUGACUACUGUGUAUGAUGCUGGCUGCCUGGGAGGAUGCAGACUUCCACAGCCCAAGAUUUCUACUCAGGGGAGCUUGUAAAAACUUUGAACAUGAAAGCAGCAUAGCAAUGCAGAAAAAUCAAAUUUCAAGAGAAUAUCGCGUUGCCGUUUUAAGAUACAUUUAGCUCGGCAGACUUAGGUCACCCUCCCUUCCUCUGCUUCCUAAAUGCAUGGAACUCUUUAUGACACAGAUUUCAUCUGAUAGGAAGAAUUCUUAAAAGGCUUAAUCCUGCUUCCCUCAAACUAAAGUUGUACUUAGGCUGUUUGGACGAGUUAAUUAUGGGCAAAGACCAGAAUACUAAUUAGUAUCAAAAGUGGAAACAUAUACAUAGAAAAUAUAUGAAUGGUGAUUUGAAGCUUAUUAAGACUUUCUUAUCAGUGGCCUUGCUGAGUGAAGUUUUUGAUCAAGCUUAUCUCUAGGAAAUGUGAGAAAAUAAAAAGUCGUGAAGGCACAGGAACAUGUUUUCCUUCCUGUUUGAGCUUCACCAAUUCCACCUCUCAGAAGGUAACAUGGUCCUAAGGAGCUUCUGUUGUUGAUGAGUGCGAUUAAAAUGUUAACUUCAAAAAUCAUUAAAUGAUAAAAAUUCAUGGUAAAAUUUCAAGGGUUACCAU
RNAcentral lists this long non-coding RNA (6394 nucleotides) under Sus scrofa (pig). Its description in RNAcentral is "lncRNA (ENSSSCG00050064560.1)". Lineage: Eukaryota; Metazoa; Chordata; Mammalia; Artiodactyla; Suidae. The record is from RNAcentral.